CUUGAUGACCAUAGUAAGUCGGUCCCACCCCUUCCCAUCCCGAACAGGACCGUGAAACGACUCUACGCCGAUGAUAGUGCUGCAACCAGUGUGA
RNAcentral lists this ribosomal RNA (94 nucleotides) under Duganella margarita. Lineage: Bacteria; Pseudomonadati; Pseudomonadota; Betaproteobacteria; Burkholderiales; Oxalobacteraceae. The record is from RNAcentral.